This 492-nucleotide ribosomal RNA is filed under the name uncultured bacterium. RNAcentral's name for it is "partial 16S ribosomal RNA". It matches the Rfam family "Bacterial small subunit ribosomal RNA", at positions 29 to 507 of the family's 1533-position model. The record is from RNAcentral.
AGUGAACGCUGGCGGUAGGCCUAACACAUGCAAGUCGAACGGCAACACAAUAAGAGUUUGCUCUUACGGGUGGCGAGUGGCGGAUGGGUGACGAAUACAUCGGCAUCUACUUAUUCGUGGGGGAUAACGUAGGGCAACUUAUGCUAAUACCGCAUACAACCUACCGGUGAAAGCAGGAGAUCUUCGGACCUUGCGCGACUGAAUUAGCCGAUGUCGGAUUAGCUAGUUGGCUGGGUAAAGGCACACCAAGGCGACGAUCCGUAGCUGAUCUGAGAGGAUGAUCGGCCACACUGGAACUGAGACACGGUCCAGACUCCUACGGGAGGCAGCAGUAGGGAAUAUUGGGCAAUGGGCGAAAGCCUGACCGAGCCAUACCGCGUGAGUGAAGAAGGCCUUCGGGUUGUAAAGCCCUUUUGUUGGGGAAGAAAAGCAGCAGAUUAAUACCCCGAUGUUCUGACGGUACCCAAAGAAUAAGCACCGGCUAACUACGUG